This is a long non-coding RNA of Chinchilla lanigera (long-tailed chinchilla), 896 nucleotides long. RefSeq lists it as uncharacterized. The transcript is spliced from 3 exons. NCBI's taxonomy places the organism in Eukaryota, Metazoa, Chordata, Mammalia, Rodentia, Chinchillidae. The record is from RefSeq and is a predicted model, not a curated record.
GGGUUCUAAUUCCGGUCCCACCAGCAGGGGAUGAGGACCUCAGCUUCCACACCUAUCAAGCCCCCCGCUUUCCACGGGGGCCACACCGGCCUCACUCCCCGGGUUUCCGUGAGGAUCAAGUGACAGCCGUCUGAGAGAUGAAGAAAUGGGCUCACAGGAAGAGGGCUCGGCUCCCUCCACCCAGCACUGUAGUCCAAAGCCUGGCUCUUCCCGCCCGACCACCCUCAGCCUGGGCAAGACCCUCCUCCCGCAGCGAGAGAGAGCAGAAGGAAGCCCCAAGACUGAACACCCCGGCCCUGCAGGCGGGCCUCACAGACAGACGGGAACUGGGGGAAUGCAAUCAGGAGCCAGAUCCGGGCAAAACAGCCUCAGACACAUUCCACUUCUGGACCACUUCUUCCUCCGAAGCUCAUCAUCCGCGGGGCGCCCUACCCGCCCCAGGUCUCGCCCGGGGUGCAGCGGCCACCAAGGAAUCUGCUGUAAUGCUAGCGGGUGGUAGAAUUUAACAUCUGCCUGCCACGUACUGAAAUUCAGUUUCCUAACCCACCUUCUAAGUAUGUAGCACUAGAUUAAAAUCCUAACAGUGCCUUCUGAACCUCAGAAACAAAGCCCAGGGCCAGACAGGUCAGUCAGUGGCUGAGAAGAGGGUUAGCUUCAAAGAAAAUCAGCCCUCUCCAGUACAGGGGAUGCCCAAGGGCAGCUGCUAACGGGGCUCUGUCCCACACGCACUCCUGCCUGACGAGGCAGCGGGUGCGCUGUUUCAGCACACCUACCCCAUACUUCUCAAGUGCUAGAAACUCAGGCAAUUCGAAUUCUUUUCUGUACACUUCACUGUAGUUUCCAGGCUUGCUCUAAUAAAGAUGACUUUCCUUCCCUCCUUGAUCUCUUUACUUAGC